UACGGGGGGAGCAAGCGUUGUUCGGAUUUACUGGGCGUAAAGGGCGCGUAGGCGGUCAGCACAAGUCAGUUGUGAAAUCUCCGAGCUUAACUCGGAAAGGUCAACUGAUACUGUGCGACUAGAGUGCGGAAGGGGCAACUGGAAUUCUUGGUGUAGCGGUGAAAUGCGUAGAUAUCAAGAGGAACACCUGCGGCGAAGGCGGGUUGCUGGGCUGACACUGACGCUGAGGCGCGAAAGCUAGGGGAGCAAACGGG
This 254-nucleotide ribosomal RNA is filed under the name uncultured bacterium. Its description in RNAcentral is "partial 16S ribosomal RNA". It matches the Rfam family "Bacterial small subunit ribosomal RNA", at positions 524 to 776 of the family's 1533-position model. The record is from RNAcentral.